AAAACAAGCAAAGGCGAAAAUUUGUGCAAACACACUUCCAAGGCUGCAUCAAGGCUCCAAUCACAUUGCUAUACAACAUUCAAAAGCCCACAAAUCACUCAAUUUGAAUGGGUGGCGCUAAGGGAAGAAAGGGUUCUUCAACCUCGUGCUCUCGCGGAGUGAAGGAGGUGAAGGAGAAGAAGAAGGUUUUGACUGGUUCUGCUUCUCGUCCCCUGGGGGUCCAUGGCUCGGACGUGCAGGCUCAGUCUUCAGGCGUGAGAGUCAUGAUCAACGCUGAUGGUUCUGAAACUGAGUGGGAUGAGGAUUGGUAUAAUUAUCUUCAUUCGGAGGAGUUCGCUCGUCGGGCAGAAUAACGUGUUUUUGUUUUGUUUGAUGUGUAUUUUGUAACGCUCGUCGGGCAGAAUAACGUGUUUUUGUUUUGUUUGACGUGUUUUGUUUUGUUUUGUUUUGAUUUCGGAUUGUAUCUUUCGCACAGUGUUUUUGGAUUGGAUUUAUCAUCUUAGUAUUUUCAGUUUA
Molecule: long non-coding RNA, 516 nt
Organism: Vicia villosa (hairy vetch)
Lineage: Eukaryota; Viridiplantae; Streptophyta; Magnoliopsida; Fabales; Fabaceae
Exons: 2
Source: RefSeq, a predicted model, not a curated record